Molecule: ribosomal RNA, 439 nt
Filed under: uncultured bacterium
Lineage: Bacteria
Description: partial 16S ribosomal RNA
Rfam family: Bacterial small subunit ribosomal RNA
Source: RNAcentral
CUACGGGCCGCUGCAGUGGGGAAUAUUGCACAAUGGAGGAAACUCUGAUGCAGCAACGCCGCGUGGAGGAUGACACUUUUCGGAGCGUAAACUCCUUUUAUAUAGGAAGAUAAUGACGGUACUAUAUGAAUAAGCACCGGCUAACUCCGUGCCAGCAGCCGCGGUAAUACGGAGGGUGCAAGCGUUACUCGGAAUCACUGGGCGUAAAGAGCGUGUAGGCGGGUUAAUAAGUCAGAAGUGAAAUCCUAUGGCUCAACCAUAGAACUGCUUUUGAAACUGUUAACCUAGAGUGUGGGAGAGGUAGAUGGAAUUUCUGGUGUAGGGGUAAAAUCCGUAGAGAUCAGAAGGAAUACCGAUUGCGAAGGCGAUCUACUGGAACAUAACUGACGCUGAGACGCGAAAGCGUGGGGAGCAAACAGGAUUAGAUACCCCCGUAGUC